This is a non-coding RNA of Struthio camelus australis, 8920 nucleotides long. NCBI's taxonomy places the organism in Eukaryota, Metazoa, Chordata, Aves, Struthioniformes, Struthionidae. The record is from RefSeq and is a predicted model, not a curated record.
GGGCACGGCUGCAGCGAGGCCGCAGAGAGCGAGCGCCAGAAUAAUCCGCAUGGUUUCGGCAGCACCCGACGCCUCUGGGGACCUGCUGGGCAAGAAGUGUCCACAGUUAGCAUGACCCAAACCGUUCCUGGAGCAUUCACACAUCCCGGGGGCUCUUCCAGCCAAAUCCACUCCUAGGCUCCAGAGAUGGAGAGCCAGAGCAGCUGCAUCAACACUUCACUUGUGGUCUCAGCAUCCCGACUCUGCAUUGGGUUUUCCCGUGAGCAAGAAUUAAUGUGCCAAGAGUCAAGACGGCACUCUGCCAUGCCGGGCCGGUGCGUUUUGAACGAAAGCUUCCCUUUUAAACAGCUCUUACAGCGUUGCUUUGUGUUCUUUUACAGUAAAGGCUUUGGGGAGGGGCCAGGGAGCAAGAGGUCUUUCCAUCUCCAGAGUAGCAGGUCAAACCUCUGCCCUGGUCAGGAAAAGUUAAAAGCAGGGUGUUUAUGCUGGCCGCAUAACCCAGUGCUGCCUGUCGAUGCCGGAGCUGCCGUGGUCAGGGUACGGCAGGGAUCAUUCCUCUCUGAAGACUCCAGCUCGGUACCCAAACGCUGAGCUUUCUAGACACUAGAUGGAGCACAUGAGCUCCCAGCAAGCUUGGUCAGAGGGGGUCCCUUGAGAAGGUCUGACUCUGGUCAGCUCUGUCAGGAAUGUACUGGGAGAAAGGCAGAUGGUGAACCCCCUCCUCUCCUCCUGCAAAGCCCCUUCCCAAUGCAUACAUGCACUAGGUAGGUGCAUCUCAUCACGACAUAGGUGUACCUGUCCCCAGUGAGGGCUCUCAAGUGCUGUAGGGAUUUUAGAUAAAUCUUCAGACUAGUUAGUCCUACAGCCAUGCCUGAAAGCUCUUCAGAGAGCUAGCUCUUGGGUCUAAAGGGUGAACAUUUACUCCAAGUGAGUUGUUUGGACUCCUCUACUGAGCGGGUAGCAAAAGAAAAAACAUCCAAAAGGCAGCUCAUCCCUCCUGCCUCCGAGGCUAUAACCUGUCCCUGAGCCCUCCCUCCCGAUUUUACACUGCUCACAGCGACUCUUCCUGGUAGCAGAUCUCUGGGAUCUGAAUUCCCCCUCCGUGCCCAAAACCGAGCUUUGCGGUGGGCAGCGUCACGCCCAAGGCUACAACGGAGUCCCGUUCCUCGGCCGCGUCCUCCUACCCGGCUCGGGGCCGGCCUCGCGGGCCCGCUGGUUGCGUGCCGAGGCAAGUAGGGCUGCGACGGCGGCAGCUUCAGGGUUAAAGCCAACAGAGCAGGAAGCGAAGGGCCCCCUGGGAUUACGCAUGGAAGGAAACACGCAUGCACAUAGCCUGGAGCGAAGCAGGGAGUGCGCAGCUGCACCAGCGACCCACUGCCAGAGCUGGAAUUAGGUAAACGCAGAAAGGGAAGCAAUUUGUCUCCUGCGAUCCUUUGGGGAAUACGGAAGAGCUGUCCUGGCUACCCAGGAGAAAGGCUUGUGCAACGGCCUCCAAAUUGUCCUUGACGCACUUUUUAAGUGGCGUGUAAAAGGGUGACCGCGCAGAGAAGGAAGGGCCUGAACAAAAACAUCUCUGGCUGUCAUCGUCCCUGGGCAUUUUGCAUCCAAGCAGCCAGCAGCAUCGUCCAGCUGCAUCCGAAAAGGAACCGAAAAGGCGAGAAAGCAGCCAGUGCGUCGGCCACGUCGGUCUCUGUCCACCCCACGAAGGCCAGGGCCAUCUCUAAGGAAGUGGCCGAGAUGCUGCUGCAGGGGCAGGGCGAGAGCGGAGAGUCGUGAUGCCGCAGCCUCGGUUUCCCCCUUUCCAGGAUGGAGCCGCUCUCCUUAGAGCCAACUGCAAACCUGCCUGCAGAGAUACAACAGGAGAAGGGGCUUCAUCCUUCCCGGCUCCACCUGAAAGCAGGGUCCAUGGACCGCGGGGCCCGGUUGCCUCGUCCCCCGUGAGCUCGGUGUGCUGAUCUGCUGCGAUCACAGCGGUCUGUCUCUCUAGAUAUAUGUUUUUUCCCCUUUGACUGGGAUGACACCCACAUGGGCGGCAAAUGUCACACCAGCCCCUUGCCUUCACAUAGACACGAGCUCGUGUCCAAAUUCGGUCAAGGAGUUUAACCAUCGGAGCAGUUUAGGAUGUAUCUGCAAAAAGCCAAGACAGGUUUGGAGGGCAAGGGGACCGGCUGGUGGUGAACUGAGCGCACACUAAUGAUGAGAAUAGAGAUAAGGCAGUUUGGGGGGUUUUUACUUUUCCUUUGAGACAGGAGAACGGUUUGGCUUAAAUGGAGGUUGCCUAGUUGAAUGUAAUUUGGUAUUUCCAAGCUUUAUUGUGCUUUUCACAACUUUAAUAAUAUUCUUGAUGUCACUUUGCUGUGUAUGAUAGCUAUAUAGUGUCACAUAUAAUGUUUAAUACGUCUAACCAUACAUUUCUCUCUAUCUGAAGUUGCCUAAAUCCCGGAAUAGCGUUUGUGCAUGCGGGACCCUUAGCAAAAAGAAAAGUCUCUCGUAUGUCCCUAUACAUCAAAACCCACCUACUCUGCCUAGCCUAAAUACGCCUGCCUGCUUAAAACACACCGGCAGAAAAUUGCAAUGUGUAUCUCCUAGCUACUGUACAGCUCUCCAGUGAAACCCUGGCAUUCAAGAGGUGGGAGGCUGGAUUUCUGGAAAAUUCAAGGAGCCCACAUGAUGCAACUCCGAUGCAUUCUUGCGGAGUGAGGUCUGCUAAUGUAAUCUUCAGUGGGGGCCGUUAGCAUUUUGCUCCAGAUGUUAACGGGCUGCAGCUACUCAUUUGAGAUUUUCAAGGCUCGGACGUCUGUCCUGGCAGAGCUCUGGGGUUUGUGCUGCUUGUAUUGCAGAGCCACGCUCAAGCGUCAGAGAGAGUUAUGUUAAUUUUAGGAGCAAAUGCCGCUGUUUGUUAGUUUUCCUUUUUUGUCAUUUUAUAACUUGAAGAGAGGAAAGCUGUUGAUUGUGCAACAGACCUUCUGUUUUCCAUUUUAGAGUUAACCAGCGCUGUCUGCAGUCUUCACUGAAAGAACGAAAACUAUAUUUAGCGUCUGCAAAUGUUUCUUUCUUGCUUCUUCCUAGCAAACCGCCCUCUGGCCGUUGGACACAGCAAGUCUCGCAGGGUCUGAGCUGUGCGCGUGGCUGAGCCCCGUUACGCUCGGCUGGUGUCCUGGCCACCGGGAACCUGAAUGCCUUGCAAAUAACUGGGAUAGGACAGAUAGGGUGGAAAUACCUUUUGGCUAUUCGUGUAGUUAAAUUAGCCUGUGUGGGCACUGGUAGCAGUUUAGCCACCGUCUCCCAUGUCAGUGCCGAGCCCGGGGUUAUAUUCAUUCAUAAGAUGCUGAUGAAGACGUGCUGUGACCCCUUGUAUUGCUAAGAGAAGCACUAAACAUUGGAAGACUUUUUUCCUCUCUCCCAAAUUGAUCCAGAAAAAUCACGUAAGUCGCUCUGGUUGUAUUGAGUCCUGACACUCAGGAGAUGUCUUUGGCUGCAUGGCUGCAGUAAGAACGGAAAUGCAGAUCCUGGAGCAGGGAAAGCCCCGUGGCUGCUAUUGCCCAGCUGUUCAAUGGAAGAUGGCCUAGGGCUCAGCAUCUGUGAGCUGGACCACACAGGGGAAGAGCUGGCUCACCACGUAUGAAGAUCUUCCUGUGUGGGUUUCCAAGCAUUUAAUAAAACUAGGCAAGGAUGAUUGUCCUGGCUUAAAAGUUGGGGAAACUGAGGCACAGAUUGCAAGUCUGGGGCAGAACCAGAGCCCAGGUGUCCUGCAUCGGGAGUCCUGUGCCAGUUGCCCUGGCGUGUGCUGCAUCCCUUCUCCGAAAGGAUGCUGAAUAUUUUGUGGAGUUGCACAGGCAUCUUCUCUCUCCUUGGACAGAUAAUCUGCCUGGAGGUACCAUGGGAUGCUGAACUGCUCUGUGCCAGCUGUUUUGCAGUCAGCCCCCCCCCUCCCCCCCCAAUUAUCCCAACUCAAAUCCCACCUGAUGGGGAUGGAAAUGCUUUUAUACCUGCUCUCAGGGCCAGGCAGGCAGCUGCAUGGCACCCCAUGGCCACAGAGCAGCCACUGUGCUACCCAUCUGCAUCCCUGUCUCCUCUCACUUUCUGGCCAGGCAGAAACAGGCUCUUGUUUUGUGUUUGCACAGGCCCUAGCACUACGGGACCGUCACCUAUGAUCCUUCUCCAGCUGGGAUAUCCAAGCUUUGCUUUAAGCAAGGAGCUUUCUGUUUCCCGCAGUGGGAGGGGGUGCACUAACUGCCUCUUUGCAUCUCUGGCUACGGGGCUGCCCAAAGGCAACACAGUUCAGGCUCUCAGCCCGACCCAUGGUAAAUGAAACAUUUCUUGCCUUGCGCCUGGGGUCUGAAAGGCUGUUUGCAAGCCCGGAGGAGGCGCUGGUGCUGAUGAACUUGCACACAAGGGCUCUUGUUUAGCACGAGGCAGAGGCGGUUGGGCAAGCGUGAGAGAGGUGGGGUAGGAGGACGCGAUGAAUGGGGACCGUUGUUUCGCUCCUGAUUACCUUUGGGGGAUGCUGGACGAUUAGCAGCCAUGCACAAACGACUUGGGUUCAGUCUUUCAAAAGCUAUUUGCACUUUUGGACGCUGUUGGCUUGGAGGACAAGAUCUGUAGCCUCCUGUGAUUACUCCUGGUUCAGUACCCAGUGGGAUGCUUUGGUUAUAAAGACAUGCAUGAAUCAAAGCCUCUUAGAGCCGCCCUUCUCCUCCCCUGCAUGGAUCUGGCUCUGCCCCAUCCAGUUGGGAUUUAUUUCAAGUUCAUUUGCUGCCCGAACAUAGAGAAGAAGCAGCAAAGAAUGAAAGGCAGCUCCUGAGCUUUGAAUAGCUCAGGGCAUGAAUCAAGGCCUGUAGUUUAUUUAAAGGGAAAUACUCAAAUCCUAAAUGUUCAAGAUCACAGAUAUCUGAUGAAUAUUGGUAAUACCCAGCUGUGGUUACUGUUGACUGCAGUUUCCAAUGCCAACACUGUAUGCUGGACAUACAAAAUAGUGGAGAAAUUGUAAUUUAUACAUUGUGCAAAUUAUAAAUUGUAAAAAAGCCCUGGACAACGGUUUGCUCCCAGGCUGGGACAGCUGGUGGGAGAUCUCCAGAUCCAAAAUCCCAGUUUCUGUUCAAGCGCAGAAAUGGUUCCUGCCCCAGCAGUCUCCUUGUAACCUGUAUCUUUAAACUGCAACUCACUCAACACACAUUCCAUUCAUGGUCCUUUUCUAGAAGAAGACCUCCCUGGCACCUUUUCAGUGAACAUGCUUGUGAUGAGAGUUUUGCAAAGUAAAAUGCAGAACAUUUGGUGUCUCCUAUUCGGUUUGAUUCAUGGAUGUUCUCCAAUGCCAGCUUUUCAGGUCAGGGUUCAAAUUUAUUCAGGAAUCCCUCAUCCCUUUUUCUUCGUCUCCAUUUUUAACGCCUGCUUCCUUUUAUUUUUCAACUUUAGAAAGAUUUUUCCCCCUUUUCCCUUCUCCAGCUGGAUACAAUUGCCAGGAGUCAGAGGAGAGCCAUUUCUCUGGCUGUGUGAUGGACCUUGUUGCUGCUGAGACUCCAUGGGCACCUUCAUCACACUGAAAGUGGUGCAGUUGCCCACAAGAGGGCUGCCCCAUUCCUUCUCCCCCUGUCCCCUCUCCAUGUUUCCUCUUCCUUCCUCACACCAUGCCUUGUUCAUACAAAUCCAGGGAGAAUCCGUUCAGUGAGUUGAUCUGAUGGUGAAUUGCUCAGUUGUUACUGGUAUUAAGAACUACAGGCAGAUGACUAGGCUGCCUGCAUAUCUUAACAGCUGGGAGGUGAGCUUCGAUUCUCCUAUGGCAUCAACAUCCCGCAAUCACUCCAGGAAGUGGGUAGCAAGGCCAGGAGGGGAAUGGAGCCCAGAGCACCUAGAAACCAUGGGCAGAAAAAUAUGAAUCUUCCCCUAGGGAAAAAAUUGCUACAAGAGUGCUGUUGGGGGACAAGUACUGAGUGGCAGAGUCGGUCUUGGUGCUGGGAAACUCCUGUGUUUGCUUCAUUUGGUGGUCAUGACUGAGAAUUUGGUGGGAACUGGGAUGUAUCUUAUAAAGAAAGAUUAGGUCUCCAACGGAGCAGGAAGGUGGGCAAGUCAAGGGUUGUCUCAGUGGAAAGUAUAUGUGAAGAUGCAGCAGAGAUCCCAAUGCAGUAAGUGUUAGAGGCCUCGGUGGUGGUGGUGGAAGUUUCUGUAGGACAUCACAACCCUACACAGCUCAUCUGGCUUUAGCAAUGAAAUGUUAGGUGUUUUGUCAAAUCUCUUUUCUUGGCUGGUGUUAUGUAUCCUAUGUGCCCAUGGUGAGAUGAAUUACCUGCUAGAAAUGGCUCUCUGUCAGCUGUGAAGGAGCUGAGAUGAGGAACUCACAUGAACCAGGUGCUGAUCUUCUGCAUGGCUAAGACAAUGAACAGCAUCAGCACUCCUGCAGGGUUCCUCCCAAAACUGUCUUCCUCAUUUGACUGCUUUGAGAAUCUCUCCCUUAACUAUACGUUGAAAAAGACGCUUGGGUUUUGAUGUUGGCGUAUUUUUAUUCCUGGAUUGGAUAGCUGGCGGUUCUUUCAGGCCCACUGCACAGCCCCUCUGCAGCGUUACAUGCACAGCUUUGGGAGGAAUGGAGUUUUCAUUCCAAGGUCAUUCCAGGAGAUCCAAUUCUCUGUUUGUUUGGGAUAAAGUCAGAAGGGGUGACUAAGCUAGCCAAAAGGGAAAUCCACAAUGCUUCAUUUGAAUGAAACAUUUUGUUUCCUUUUUGUUUCACUCCUCUUCUGAAUUAAAAGGCUAAAUGUAGCCUCAAAACAUCGUUUUCAGACGAAGAACAUGAAAAAAAUUUUGAAGACAUCAAAAUAAACUGCUUAUUUUUUUUCUCUUUUUUGUCCUAAUUUUUCCAGCUGAAAUCAUUUUCCAAAUGCACCUCAACUUCAGAUAUAUUUUCAGUCACUGUGACAGUGCCUUUCUUGGUGAUUUAACUAUUUAACAAUUAUUUUCUGUCCAUCCCUUGUUCCGGCUAAUAGAAUAAUUGGGUCUCCUGGAGGCAAAUUCAUUAAAUGUGGGAUGCAUAAUGAAGCCGCUUGCCCCAGGCUCUGAUGCUGACUCACCACGUUCCUUUGAAGUGUUUCACCGCCAUCUCCCUUUUCCUACCAGGGCACAUAAAGCAAGCAGGUCAGGUCACGGCGUUUGCAGAAAAGUAUGCAGCGACUGCAUGCAAGGGGCUACAAAUGGCAGCUGGAGUCAUUUUGUGCAUCCCUGUGUUCACACGCACACACAUACGUGUUGACUCCUCUGAUUAUACUCAACCCAUCCUACAUCCUAUCUGACUGAUGACCAAUACCGUCCCCUAAACCUCCUGCCUGACAACGCAUGAGAAGUGUUUUACAAACCAGGCGCUGUGAUUGUGAGUUUUGCUGUUGGCUCACACAAGGUUCAUGCUCAGAGGCCUGGAAGCUUUGUCUGGACAACACAAUGGGUCUCCCCUUAGUUAUCUGUGUGCUGGUUAGCUGGGCUGCAGAUCAACUUUGUCAGCAGCAUAGAGACACCCACAUUAGCUCCGUGCCCUCCUGCUUAGGUCUGGUCAUCACCUUAACCCGGCACAUGCAAAUGCAAAAAUGCAGCUUGUGUCUGGUAUGUGCCCAAGAGAAGAUGUCCUUCCAGACCCUGGGUCACAGGGCAGCAGGGUCAGGAGACACCUGAAAGGCUCUGCAGGACCCAGCUUGGGUCCUGCAGGGCUGAUGCAGAUCUGGGGCAAAUAAAUCCUCAUGGACAUGAAGUUUUAGAGAUGCGCUGAAAUAUCACCGCACCGUGUUCUCCAGCAGGUCUUGUAGGACCAUAUUACCUGUGUUUUCCCAUUAGCUCAAGAGCUCCAGUGCUCUUGCUUCAGGUAAAUCAAAAGUCAUGUGUACCCUGAUGUCACCUCCACUUUGCUAUGUUAGGAUGUUAACACACACCAGCCACAAGAAAAUGAAGAGGUCUUAGCCUCCAGAGACAGUACUCCAUGCUUCCUGAGCCUGUUUCCCCAAGCACUAGCGAUGUAUGAACAGCUUAGCUCCAGCCUCUUGCCCUGGAGCUAGGCUUUGGCGCUGCUGUUGGUAGCAAGACCCUUAGCAUAUCUGCACCUUGCACCCAGCAGCAGGCAGGAGCAACAUUUCCAUGGGAGACGGUAGGGCACAGUCAAGGGUGCAGAGAUAUUGUCCGUCCUUGGUGACAGCAGUAUCCACGUGCAAAACCACAGCCACGUUGGCUGGUCUUUGCAAGCUGGGCUGUGCUGACAGCAAAGGGUGCAGACUGCGCCAAGGGGUUGUUUGAGUUUUGUGAGACCCUUAUUGGAGCAGGAGUGCUGCAGAUGCAAUCACUGUCCUGAGAGUGAGAUCUCCUGUGUGAGAUCAAGGCAAAAGCUCCCCUAGGCUUGACUGCGACCAAGGGUUCCUUUUGCCUGUCCCAGCCCAGAUCCCACGCCCUGGGCUCUGCACUGGGAACAUGCUUCUGGCUGCAUGUGGCUGGGGCUGACAGCUUCCCAUGCUUCCAAAAGCAUCAGAAAACCACAAGAAACAGCUCGAACCCUGUUCUGCAUUGCUGAGCUCCUUCUGAUCCCUGGCGGAGACGGUGAGUACCCUUGGGAGAAUAAUAAUGUUUGGGAAAAGUUUCCAGGAUAUAGCUGUCAGUGAAGCCUAUAGGAAAGGGUGCACCAAGGCAAGAGAGACCAGCAGAAAUAGAUGGAUUUAAAAAUAGUUGAGACAGAGGAGACAGAUUGGAUAAAAUUCCACAGCUGACAGAGAGAUGGGACGAUAGAGAUCAAAUUAGCAUGCUGCGGGAUUAAUUUCGGCCCUGUUCCUACACAGGCAGUGAGACGCCAGGCCUGGCAGGGCUCUCUCCAGCCAGCCGGAGAACCGGCUUUGCCCUGCAGAGACUCCCCGGGGCCUGCGGCACUCCGGCCUCAGCCCUGGGGACAUCCCCUCUGUGC